AAGUCGUAACAAGGUUUCCGUAGGUGAACCUGCGGAAGGAUCAUUAUCGAGUCUUUGAACGGGUUGUCGCUGGUCUUUAUUUGUAUAAAGGCAAUGUGCACGCCUGGCUCAAUCCAACUCUUAAACCCCUGUGCACUUACUGUGGACUGUAAUGGAUGGCGACAGCCGUCUAUAAGGUCUGCAUUUAUUAUAAACUCUUAAAAGUAAUUGAAUGUAUACUGCGAUAUAUAACGCAUCUAUAUACAACUUUCAGCAACGGAUCUCUUGGCUCUC
Molecule: unclassified non-coding RNA, 273 nt
Filed under: Crassisporus byrsinus
Lineage: Eukaryota; Fungi; Basidiomycota; Agaricomycetes; Polyporales; Polyporaceae
Description: Coriolopsis byrsina partial internal transcribed spacer region
Rfam family: Eukaryotic small subunit ribosomal RNA (bases 1-46)
Source: RNAcentral